GCCGGAGUGGUGAAACUGGUAGACGCACUGGACUCAAAAUCCAGCGAGGGCAACUUCGUGUCGGUUCGAUUCCGACCUCCGGCACCA
This 87-nucleotide transfer RNA is filed under the name Desulfocastanea catecholica. Its description in RNAcentral is "tRNA-Leu". It matches the Rfam family "tRNA". From Rfam's summary of the family: Transfer RNA (tRNA) molecules are approximately 80 nucleotides in length. Lineage: Bacteria; Pseudomonadati; Thermodesulfobacteriota; Desulfobulbia; Desulfobulbales; Desulfobulbaceae. RNAcentral also lists the same sequence under 3 other names. The record is from RNAcentral.